AAAGUCGUAACAAGGUUUCCGUAGGUGAACCUGCGGAAGGAUCAUUACCGGGUAGACCCAUCGUGCCGCCCGCGCUCCGCGAGGCACCUGGGUCGCCUACCGACCUCCUGUCAUCAGUUUGGUUGGGGGCCUCGUGCGGCGGGUACCGCCUGUCGCGCGGGGCUUCCAGCCUUGAAAUAGUUCGGCGGAAUCGGCGGUAGGGGCCCUGGCCCCUCUCGCUGGCCGCCGGCCCGUAUUCCCACAGCUCCUGUGAUCAACCUGAAGUCUGAGUGGUAAUCUGCGAACAGAAACAAAACUUUCAACAACGGAUCUCUUGGCUCUG
RNAcentral lists this unclassified non-coding RNA (322 nucleotides) under Ascomycota sp. Its description in RNAcentral is "partial contains small subunit ribosomal RNA, internal transcribed spacer 1, and 5.8S ribosomal RNA". The stretch from base 1 to 47 matches the Rfam family "Eukaryotic small subunit ribosomal RNA", at positions 1785 to 1831 of the family's 1831-position model. The record is from RNAcentral. Lineage: Eukaryota; Fungi; Ascomycota.